Long non-coding RNA from Panicum virgatum (switchgrass), 393 nucleotides. RefSeq lists it as uncharacterized. The record is from RefSeq and is a predicted model, not a curated record. The transcript has 2 exons. Lineage: Eukaryota; Viridiplantae; Streptophyta; Magnoliopsida; Poales; Poaceae.
UGGAUCUGCAGCGAUGCUGAUUCUUGCUGUUGUGGUAGUGCUGUAGUGAUGCCUCCUUUUGAGUGGUAGUUUCCCAUGAGUUCUAUGGAUUUGCCGAUCGAAACACAGAGCAGGUAGGCUGGAGCUCCAGUACCAAGACUGCAGACAGGGCAUUCUUCUUGAAUAGAGCUGAGAAGAGUCAACUAUUUCAGCAGCAAGGCAUUACCAUAAGCAUUGGAGAAGUAACUUCCACAAUGAAGCCCAUAGUUCGUGAGAUAUGGCAAAUCCCACAAAGAGUAAAGAAGCUAAUAGAGCUCUUACCUCAUCAAGAGGUACGGUUUCUUUUUCAUCUGAACCUGCACAUGGGCUGAUUUCAUUUUGUGUGUGGGUAUGAAAUGCAACAGUCUAUGGUAA